RNAcentral lists this small nucleolar RNA (129 nucleotides) under Balaenoptera musculus (blue whale). RNAcentral describes it as "Small nucleolar RNA SNORA11 (ENSBMSG00010018980.1)". It matches the Rfam family "Small nucleolar RNA SNORA11". Rfam says of the family: U107 (SNORA11) is a member of the H/ACA class of snoRNAs that guide the sites of modification of uridines to pseudouridines. This snoRNA was identified by RT-PCR from blood cells and its expression confirmed by Northern blot analysis. The record is from Rfam by way of RNAcentral. Lineage: Eukaryota; Metazoa; Chordata; Mammalia; Artiodactyla; Balaenopteridae.
GGGGUGUGCUCAGAGCAGGGGGUCUGGAGAAAUGGCUCGUCUGUUUACAACACACCCGGCAGGAGUCAGGGUUCAUUGUGACAAGGGGCACAAAACUGUGGCCUUCCUAUGAACAUAUACCCAACACGU